Amblyraja radiata (thorny skate) is the source of this 481-nucleotide long non-coding RNA. RefSeq lists it as uncharacterized. The record is from RefSeq and is a predicted model, not a curated record. Lineage: Eukaryota; Metazoa; Chordata; Chondrichthyes; Rajiformes; Rajidae. The transcript is spliced from 3 exons.
UCAGCACCUAGUCUUUCCUCCAGUCUUUCCAUCACCUAUGGAAACUUUUAUUGCUGUUUAUCAACAUGAGGACGAAAGUUGUGAAAAUGAAAGUCCACUAUGCCAUUAUGAGACUGACAAACAAGAAUAAAACUGUUAAGAGACAUCAGCCAAACCUUAGGCUUACCAAAAUCAACUGUUUGGAACAUCAUUAAGAAAGAGAGCACUGGUAGGCUUACCAAUCACAAAUGGACUGGCAGGCUAAGGUACACCUCCACAGCUGAUGACAGGCAAAUACUCUCUAUAAUUUUUUUUUUAAUCCCCAAACACCUGUCUGACAGAACAGAAACACUCUUCAGGAGUCAGGUGUGGAUUUGUCAAUGACCACUGUCCGCAGAAGAUUUCAUGAACAGAAAUACAGAGGCUACACCGCAACAUGCAGACCACUGGUUAGCCGCAAGAAUAGAUGGCCAGGUUUGCCAAGAACUACUUAUUUAAAGCA